GAGUUUGAUCCUGGCUCAGAACGAACGCUGGCGGCAGGCCUAACACAUGCAAGUCGAGCGCGCCUUUCGGGGUGAGCGGCGGACGGGUUAGUAACGCGUGGGAAUAUGCCCAAAGGUACGGAAUAGCCUCUGGAAACGGAGAGUAAUACCGUAUGUGCCCUUCGGGGGAAAGAUUUAUCGCCUUUGGAUUAGCCCGCGUUAGAUUAGGUAGUUGGUGGGGUAAUGGCCGACCAAGCCUACGAUCUAUAGCUGGUUUUAGAGGAUGAUCAGCAACACUGGGACUGAGACACGGCCCAGACUCCUACGGGAGGCAGCAGUGGGGAAUCUUGGACAAUGGGGGCAACCCUGAUCCAGCCAUGCCGCGUGAGUGAUGAAGGCCUUAGGGUCGUAAAGCUCUUUCGCCUGUGAAGAUAAUGACGGUAGCAGGUAAAGAAACCCCGGCUAACUCCGUGCCAGCAGCCGCGGUAAUACAGAGGGGGUUAGCGUUGUUCGGAAUUACUGGGCGUAAAGCGCACGUAGGCGGACCAGAAAGUUGGGGGUGAAAUCCCGGGGCUCAACCCCGGAACUGCCUCCAAAACUAUUGGUCUAGAGUUCGAGAGAGGUGAGUGGAAUUCCAAGUGUAGAGGUGAAAUUCGUAGAUAUUUGGAGGAACACCAGUGGCGAAGGCGGCUCACUGGCUCGAUACUGACGCUGAGGUGCGAAAGUGUGGGGAGCAAACAGGAUUAGAUACCCUGGUAGUC
Molecule: ribosomal RNA, 740 nt
Filed under: uncultured marine bacterium
Lineage: Bacteria
Description: bacterial SSU rRNA
Rfam family: Bacterial small subunit ribosomal RNA
Source: RNAcentral